CGAGAAAGUAUCUUCGGAUAUGAGUAGAGCGGCGGACGGGUGAGUAACGCGUAGGAAUCUACCUAGUAGAAGGGGAUAGCCCGGGGAAACUCGGAUUAAUACCGUAUACCUCCUUAGGGAGAAAGAGGGCCUCUCUUGAAGCUCUCGCUAUUAGAUGAGCCUGCGUAAGAUUAGCUUGUUGGUGAGGUAAUGGCUUACCAAGGCUACGAUCUUUAGCUGGUCUGAGAGGACGAUCAGCCACAUUGGGACUGAAACACGGCCCAGACUCCUACGGGAGGCAGCAGUGGGGAAUAUUGGACAAUGGGCGCAAGCCUGAUCCAGCCAUACCGCGUGUGUGAAGAAGGCCUUCGGG
Molecule: ribosomal RNA, 352 nt
Filed under: uncultured Pseudomonadota bacterium
Lineage: Bacteria; Pseudomonadati; Pseudomonadota
Description: bacterial SSU rRNA
Rfam family: Bacterial small subunit ribosomal RNA
Source: RNAcentral